UCACCGGGUGGAAAAUUUGAGC
This 22-nucleotide microRNA is filed under the name Parasteatoda tepidariorum (common house spider). RNAcentral describes it as "pte-miR-35a-3p". Its record names the gene pte-miR-35a-3p. The record is from miRBase by way of RNAcentral. Lineage: Eukaryota; Metazoa; Arthropoda; Arachnida; Araneae; Theridiidae.